RNAcentral lists this ribosomal RNA (203 nucleotides) under uncultured Glomeromycotina. RNAcentral describes it as "partial large subunit ribosomal RNA". The record is from RNAcentral. Lineage: Eukaryota; Fungi; Glomeromycota.
CAGUCACGCCGGUGGGAAAGUCAGCUUCCGGGAAACCAGGAGGUGCACUUUCUUGCAAGGCAGGUUAGCGUCAGUUUCGCCAGUCGUAAAAAGAUCAUUGGAAUGUGACUCCUUUCGGAGUUUUAUAGCCAGCGAUUGAUGUGACGUGCGGGAUUGAGGAUUGCAGCGGGUGCCUUUCGGGGCUAAGUGCUUGGGGACCCUUG